Long non-coding RNA from Aedes albopictus (Asian tiger mosquito), 9789 nucleotides. RefSeq lists it as uncharacterized. The transcript is spliced from 3 exons. The record is from RefSeq and is a predicted model, not a curated record. Lineage: Eukaryota; Metazoa; Arthropoda; Insecta; Diptera; Culicidae.
ACAACUGAGAGCAGUUCAAUUUCCCCUUCGGUAGUGCAGCAUCCCGAAAGAUGCUCUCAUCCACCAGGCAGAGGAUACCUCUCGUGCAGUUAUCGGAAAAUUUCGCAUCGCAUGGGGAAAUCCCGAUCCAUUGUGCUCAGCAAGGGGAAGCUUUUCUCCCCGAGCAAUUGUGUUCCGAAUUCUGCUGCAAGGCAACCUCACCCGGCCCCUCGAACCGAUUUCCCGAUUAUGGUUGGGUUUGUGUGGCAACGCGGUGUGGUGACUGGAUCGAAGAUAGUGGAGCCACAUUCCCCCAGCGGCAUCCUCGUGGACAGGAUGCACCAAGGCCUGGGCUAGGGAGUCUCGGGGCGUAUGGUCCCCUGGUAUAAAAACCUCGGAAAGAAUCCAUCCUCAGAAAGUCGUCCGUGUGACGUCGUCGUGAAAGGGAGGCCUGUGUCUGUCCGUUCAAAAGUUGUCAUGUUUCGACGUAGUUUUUGGCUGUGUGUUGUUAGGUUCUGCGGUGUGUAAUUUAAUAUCCUACCUGGCCCCAAAACGUUGUUGGAUGCUGCGGUUUGGAUGUGUUGACUGCUGUUGCGGCUGGGUGGCUUAUGUCGAGGACAAUGUUUUAAUCCUGUGGUGAUUAGUGCGGGGAUGCACCAAAGUGACGAUGUGCAACGGUUACGCAUUGCGUGUGCGUGUGUAGGUGUGCGGGUGGUGGACACGUGCAGAUAAGGGAAGAGUGGGGCGGUAGGCGGAAAGCAAUUGCGGAACUACGUAAACGAUUUUUGAGGUUAGGACAGUUUUUGUUUACCUUUGAUUAUGCAUGUAUGGUCAGGCUAAGAGGCUGAGGGAAAUUAGCAUAAUCUCCGUUACGAUAUAUCGGAAAUCAAUGAGCAUAGGACUUAACGGGAUGCCUGGAAAGGCAAUGAAGGAAAUGAAUUGGUUUUGAAAUGAUGUUGGAUACAUUUUGCUUUAGUUCUUUGGGCUUUAAUUCUCUUAUCGUUUUGAACAUUCUGGGUUCUCGAAAUUCGUUAACAAGUACAAAUUAGGUGAGCUAGUAAGGAAAGUUUUUAUUUGUCAAACACAAACACAACCCGGCUGCAAACUUUAUAAAAACAAGAGCGAACAUUCUUCCGAAGAAAACCACGAAAGAAUUCUAAACUUGUCCCCCAAAAAAGGGUCAAACUGGCCUGAAAACAAACAAACUUCAACUGAGCGCGAAGUGUUCGAAUGGAAACUGAAUUAGCUUCAUACAAAAACUCUCAAGAAGAUAUGUGGAACCCGAGAGAGGGCAGCAGGCAAGCAUGAUUCGAAGGGAAAACCACACACAGCAAAAAGCAGCAAAGCGAACUUACACACCGUGAGAGCAUGCAGGGAAAACUCGAAACUCUGAACUUCCCGUGCCGGAUGAAAAGUGCGAUGUAGUGAUAGUGCCGAGGCGGAGGUAAUGGAAAAGCUUCACAUCCGAGCUGAAACCGAAUUCAAGAGUAAAUCACAGUCAACCGGAGAAAGAGCAAGUCCGGAGUCAUCGCCAGGCCAAACACGGAGGCUACCGGAAACGGUUUUCGUGUGUGAAAGGAGCUCGUUCGCAGCAAAAAAGAUGUGUAACAAAGUUAUACAAAUAUGAGAUUGAAACAGAUCGCUGUUUGAAAUCCAAGGUACGUUGAACUCACAAGUUGCCAUUAAACAUUUAAUGUUGUCAUCACAAUGGGGCAAGCUAAUUAACCCAAAAACUUUUUGCAUUAUCACGAUUAUGUUCAUGUAUCACGUACUAACAAAGCGCUAUCACAGCAAGAGUAAACCGAAAUUCAGCAUAUGUUGGGUGAAAGAUUAGCUUCAAGUGACACGAGUUUAUAACUUUCGUGCCUCAGUUUCUUUUCCAUCGAUGAACAGCUUACGCCUUUAGAUAUGCUGUAUCAUUAGCAGGCAGCUCGUUCUAAAUAUUUGUGUUCGUUGUGUGGUUGUUCAUAUAGCCCAGUGGAAAAUAUGCCGCCUCAAAAGCUUUCUUGUAUGCAAGACGAUUGUCUCUCUGAGAUGCCAGAAGUGAAGUGUUUACGCGAGUGACGUGGUCUUAUUUUCAACUUUGACUUUAUAAAUUCUGAUUAACCCUCGAGCGAUCGCGCUGUUGUAUUUUGUACAACACGUUGAAAAAAACCUCGCUUUUUGUAUUCAUCAUUAGCUUGGUGCUGGCGGUGGUAGCCAACCGCGCGAGUGCCGGAAGGUUAAUGCAAACUCAUGCAUGAUUGAGGUAGCAUUGUAUCACAUUUUCGAAAAAAAAUCUUCAAAAAUAUUUUAUGAUAGAGAUAUUUGAUUCGAGUCAGGAACUUAGAUUACAUUUUCAACCUUAUUUAUUCUGCGGAAAUUUAAAAAAAAAUCACGUAAUGUUUCAUCAUUGAGGGAGGAGAAAUUCCUAAGGGCCCGUUUCAAAAGUGUACGAUGGGGAAGGGGUGUCUGAGAUGGCUGAAAAUGAAUCUAUGUAGUUUAUUGACAACGCCUGAAGAAAUUACUACUGAGGUUUUUUUUUAUUUUUUUUAUAAUAAAGCAUUUGAGAUUUACACUCAUUUUUUUUUCCGAGCUCGGAUGUGCAAAUCUCGGUUUCUUGGAUCAAACCAAGAAAGCACUCUUGGAGACAUCACAGGCUUUCAAGAGGAAUCUGCGAAGGAAUUCCUGGAAGAAUCCCAAGGUUCCUGGAGGAAUGUCGGAAUUUUCAAAAGGAGGAAUCUCCAAGAAGACUCUUGUAGAAAUGAUAAAAGAAAGGAGUGAAUUCCAGAAAGAACUUCUGGAGGAAUACCGGUAGAAAUCAUGGUUGAAAUACUCAAAAGGAGGAAUCUUCGAAGGCACUCUUGGAUAAACCCAGAAGCAACUUCUGAUCAAUUUUGAAAAAUUUAAAAUUGGGGGAAAUUCAGAAGGAGCUCCGAGAGGUUUCCCCAAAGGAACUCCUGAAGGAAAUCCAGAAGGGGCUUCUGAAGGAAUCGAAGAAAGACUCCAAGAAACUCUCGCAGGAAUCUCAGAAAGAACUUCUUGAAAUAUCACAGAAUUUUUUUUUUUUGAAGAAUUCCCAGAAGAAACUGCUUAAGAAUUCUUUAAAAAGGAAAUCCUAAAGGAACUUCUUGUCGAACCCAAGAAGAAAGAAGAUUCUCAGGAAUUAUUCCUAGAGAAAUACAAGAAGAAUUUUCUGUAAUAAUUUCAGUAUUCCUCGAAGGAACCUCUGUAGAAAUCUUAGAAACAACUUUUAGAUCAUUCUCUGAAGACACUCCUGGAGGAAUUUCUUGAAAGAGCUCCAGAAAGAAUUCUAGAAGGAAACUGAGAAAAUGCUUCCGCAGGAAAAUCAGUAGGGAUUUAUGGAGGAAUUCAGAAGGAACUUUUGAAGAAAUGCCUGAAGAAAUUCAUGGAAGAUUAUCACUUCGCAUCCGCUAGUAUUUUUACUUAACUAAAGUGGCUGUAUAAACCCAAAAAAAAAAUAAUAAAAAAUACAAAACGUGACUUUUUUUAUUACGAGCUGUACGUAGUGUACGGUUUGGGCAAAAAAUGACUAAUGCAAAAGAAGGGUGACAGUGAUGGAGACGUAACGUCAUUCCAUACGUAUAUGAGCACAAAAUAAUUAAACUAUCGUUGAAAAAAAUAAAAAAUAUUGUCGUUGGGUUCAACAUAGUGAAAAUCAUAAAAAUAACUAAUAUUCGAACCAUUUUUGCAUUUUACAUUUCACUAUUUUGGUGGUAGUUUUUUUUAAUCUAGAACUAACUAACUUCCUAUUUGUGAUAAUUAAUUAAUGAAAAGUUGUGAGGAUAUGAAAAAAAAUAAAAUUAAAUAAAAAAUAUCUUCCAAUCCUGUUUAUAAAAAUGGCAACUCUAAUGGUGAAUCAAAAAUACACGAAUCUUAUAAUUCUUGGUAAAGAUAAUCCCUAACCAUCGGAGCACUUUUAUUUUCGAGUUUUUUUCUUUUUUUUAUCGAAUGGCUGUAUAUAGAAGUCAUUUCGAUCCAGAAAAAUUGUCAAAUGGUCCCUUCUUUUCGUAAAAUUGAGCAAUAAGAAAUGGCAGAAUUUCAUAAUCCGCACUAUGAAAUGGCGGAAACAAUCCACUGAAAGAUCCAUAAAAAAUAGAAAACGAUCACUAAAACUUUAGAAAUGAUUCAUAUAUGAACAGUGCAGUGGAUCAUUUCCCUAACUUUAUGGGCCUUAGAAAAUAUAUAGAUCGUUUCAAAUAUUUCAUGGAUCAAUUUCUUGAUUUAAUGGAUUGUUGUCCAAUUUUUUGGAUCAUUUUUAAUAUUUUAGAGAUUGUUUUCACAUUUUUUAUGGGCCGUUAAAAUUUUUCCUGUGAAUCAUUUUCUUUUUUCAGGGAUCGUUUCAAACAUUUGAGAGCAGGUUUCUCGUUCAAAACAAAGGCUUCUCCAUGAAAAUGAAUUCCACAUGAGGAAUGGAAUACAAUGUAUACACUUCAGAUUGAGGGUUAUCUCCUCAAAAACAUGUCACUUUUUAGGUUCACAUCUCCACCAAUUCACAUCCGAUUUCAAGAACCGAGGUUUCAUUCAAACGAUAAUAAGUCAAAGAAUUUUUGAACAUCAUUAAGGUGGAACUUUAUUAAAAAUAUUUGUAUAUUAGCUUUACCUUAAGUUUCCAAAUUUUCUAAAAAAAAAUAAAAUUACGGAAAUGACUCGAAAUUGGGUCGAUCAAAUUAUAAGAAGAAAGCGGUAAUAUAUCCUAUUUUCUAUUGGCUUUCAACUACUUUUGCAAAACUUACAAGGGUACGAUGGUGUCCCCCGAGAAUUACAGUCGGACUAUUUUUGUUAGAUUCUACAUGUGGAAAUAUGAAAAAAUCCAAAGUUUUUCGGGUGAUGGACCAGCGGUGUAGCAAGGAGGAGCCAUCAAAGGAACACAUUUGACUCAAACUUCAUGAAAAUGUUAAUUUAGUAAUUUAUUUUAGUAGAAAUAGGCAGUAGAGACAUUUAUCUAUGAUUUCGUAUCAAAUUUAAUUUGCAUUAGGUCUUAGUAGGGUGAGAAUUGAAUGAUAUUUUUUAAAUAAAAUAAGAUACAAACAUUCUCGCACUAUCAAUGCCUAUGGCAAAAUUAUUUCGUUGCUAUGUCACAUUUAUGAUUAUUUUUCCUGUAUCUACUACAAUGAAUACUAAAAUUAGCAUUUUCAUGUAGUUUGAGAUUGUUCAAUAAUGUUCCAUUUGGCCAAAUUUGCCCCUUUGUGGGCUCCUUCUGGCUACACUACUGGUCCAUCACCCGAAAGGCUUUCCAAGCAGCUCACGAGUCACAAAGAAGUGUCGGCAGCACAGGUUUUUGGAUGAACACGAGUCAUUUUCAAGUUAUUCUGCCUUUGAAUAAGAAUUACAUGAAUGUAGCUCCUGUUGAACCAAAAACCUUGUUAGCAAAGAAAUCCAGGUAAAAAAUAUUAAGUAAAUUUACUAUUGAUGUUACUGAUCUAAAGUUGGGGGUCACCCCUAUAUUAGCCAAAAGUUUUGAGUUACUUUGAUAAAAUAUGGAAAAGUGAUGUGUUAAUAUCUUUGUAAUGUUUCAUUCAUAUUUUUUUGUAGUUUUGUUAAGAUUAUAAACAAAUGCUUUUCUGAAUAUAUUCAAUGAUUUUUAAAAAUAUCUUGUAAAGUAAACAUAUUUAACUACUUCGUUUUUAAAAGACGUUAUUUUACGCAAUGUUUUAAUUUGUCUGUAGUAAGAAUCAUUAACAAUACCAAAAAUCGGCCAAAAUAAAUUAAAAUUAAAUCAAACAUGACAAAUAUAUCAACACAUCACUUUUCCGUUUUUUUUUGCUAAAGUGACCCCCAACUGCUAUAAAUUCUUCCUGAAAUAAAGAAAAACAUAUUUUAUGAAAUUCUUGCAUGGAUUGAUUUUUUUUAAUUCGUGCAGGGAUUUCUUCAGAAAUUCUUCUCGAUAUGUUUUCAGAAAUUUCUCCAAGAAUUCCUUUAAAAAACUAUUUCGAGAUUCCGUUUGAAAGUUCCCCAAGUAAAAAAAAAUGCACCAAUUCCUUUCACAAUUUCUUCAAGAAUUCCUCAAAACAAUUUUUCAACGGAUUUUCUCAGAAAGCAUCAGGAAUUCCAUUUGUCAUGAAAUCUUAAAAAAAAACUCUUCCAGAAAUCAUCCGAAAAUUUUCUUCAGGGACUGCUCUAAAAAAAAUAUUUUCUACUAAAUUACUACUAAAUUUCAAUUACGGAUUCAAAUCGAUAUGCAUGCCUAUGAAAAAUCUUCCAUGGGUUUCUUUUUCAGAAGGACUCCAUAGGAUUUUUCAGAAAUUCUUCCAAAAAGGCUUCCAUGAUGUUUUCCAAGAAUUUCUUUAAAAUAAGUCUAUAGAUUCCUUCAGAAAUCUUCCAUGGAUUCCUUAAGAACUUCUACAGAAAUGCUUGCAGAAAAUUCCUUGUUUAAGUUUCAAAUUUCAUUGUAUCUUAAAAUCAUUCCGGGAUUCAUUCCGAAACAUUGUCCAGGGACUCCAUCAAAAAUGCUCCCAGGAAAUCUUCAACAAUUUUUUCGAGAAAUUCGUUUAAAAAAUCAGCUGUGGGUUGCUUUGAAGAUUCCUCUAAUAAUUUCUCUCUACAUUUCUCCAAGAACUUCUUCAGACUUUUCUUCAAAAUUUCCUUUAGAGACUUAAAAAAAUGCAGGGAUUCCUGUAGAACAAAAAUAUUGACAGUAAUUCUUCUUGGAUUCUUUCAGAAAAUUCUCUAAAAAUCUUCCAGGGGUUGAUUCUGCAUGAAAUUAUUCAAAGGACUCUUUUGGUAAUUCCUGUUGAUAUUCCUUUGGAAGUUCUUCCAAGAAUUCCUUUAUAUAUAAUAUCAUGCACUUUUCUUCAAAAAUACCACAAGAGAUUUCACCAGAAAUAACUUCAAGGACUCCUUUAGAAAAUAUUCCUUGGAUUGCAAAACUGCUUUCCAAAAUCCUCUAGCGAUAACAUUCCGCAAAUCUGCCAUGGAUUUCUAUACAUAUUUCUCCAUUGAUAGUGUUUUGAAAUCCUGUAUGAAUUGCUUCAGGAAUUCCUCCGUUGAAUUUAUUCAGAAAUGCUCUGAAGUUGAAACUUCGUGGAUUCUUUCAGGAAUUCGUUUAAAAGCUCCUCCAUGAAUUUACAGAUGUUUAUCCAUUCUAUUCUCCAGAUAUUCCUUCAGAGUCAUUGUAUAUUUUGUAUUGAAUCGCUUCAAUUUACAUAUUUUUAUUUUUUUCCCAAAUCAUACUAUCAUAGUAAAAUAGUUCAAGAGCAUCGAAUACACUCUAACAUGAUUUUUCUUAAAAUUACACGCAAAUUGAAAUUUUCUAUGAAAAAAAAAAAUAAAAAUAUUUCAACAAUAAUCAUAAAAUCUCGAAAUGUUUCCGUCUAAAAAAUCCGUCUCCCAAAUAGGCAUCCAGGAAAAAUAUAAAAGUGUGGGGAUGUUCAAAAAUAAAAAUUAGAAAAAUCAAAAACCGAAAUUCACAAAAUCGAGAAAUAAAAAUAAUCAUCUUCCAAAACAUGUUUAAAUCGAUUUUAGAUGACGAAAUAUUUAGAUAAAAAUCAAAAAUUUGGGUAGAGGGUUAAUGUUUAACAUGCUUUUGCAAAAAAAAAUCUCACCAUCUUGCUCACCAUCCCCGCAAACCGUCAGAGUUUCAAACAUCCCGCCGCGCCGUCAAAUGACCAAAACAAACGACCCAUUUUGUGUGAAAAUUCAACCCAGUCUUCCUGUCAUGUUCGUCGAAGCCACCAAACACAUUCAAUUUUAUGACAUCGGGGAGCAGUUUAGAGAGCAUAAAUGUGAGACACCUUCCGAAAACACGACACACAGUGCACCGGUUAUCAUUAUAAACGGAUCGACAACAAUGAAAACACCUACCGAGGUGCCACAGCUCAGUUUCCCUGGUGUGGUGGGAAGGAAGACGAAACUGCUUCGGAGGACAACCGCAUACAACAAUCACAAUAUCUGCCAUCAAAGUUCCCUCGACUGGGUUAAAACAGUGGGUGGGUGGGUAAUAUACCCUUGGUUCACCAAACAAGGACGACGCGACGCGGCGAGUCCUGGGGGCUUCCGCAAACCACACUGUGCAAUAGCCGUAGACACUCACAUACACACAGGCGGGCACUGUGUGUUUGUCAAUCGAUUAAAUUAAGAAUUUAUAAGCGCACGUGAUGGGAAUCUAAUUUUUGAAACAUCCACCACAGAGGCAGCCCCAGCUUCCAGUACAGCGACGCAUGUCGUUAUCGCACCGAAUCAAUUCACAUACACUACCCGUCAUAAGUACGGACUCACAAAAAGUAUUGCAACAAUAUUGCAUCACCCUGACUCACCUCGAUAUCUCUAAAACCAGAACACCUACAAAAACGCCGCCUUCAGAAAAGUUGUUGCUUUUGGUCUUCUAAAUAACUUUCCUGAAGACAGCAUCUUUGUAAGUCCUCAGGUUUAAGAGAUAUCGAGGUGAGUCAGGGUGAUGCAAUAUUGUUGCAAUACUUUUUGUGAGUCCGUACUUAUGACGGGUAGUGUAUUCAGUUCAGACGAAAUGGUGCGGUGGUGGCUGCAGGACCUGAAAAGUCUGAUUGAAAAAUAGCUCAUCGAUCCAUGUUGACGGACGCGGAAACGGAUGGCCGGAGGGACGACGACGGAUGGACGGUUAGUGCAGAUAUCGUGGAUUGAUUUCCCGGUUCGUGAAGCUGCCACCGCCAACAACCGCAGCACGUUUGACUAGUUUGGAAGCGUACCAAAAGCCACAAAUCGAACUUUAACACUCGACUCUGCAAUUAAUAGGCUUGAGGCGAGCAUGUGCUCCAUUUUUUUCUGGCAGUGCAAUGAACGAAUAUUUUGAACUGUGUCAUAAAUCUGUCCCUAUGUUAAUUGGAAGCUUUUUUGGCACUAAAAUUUAUGGAAUUGGGUUGAUUUUAUUAUCUAACAUUAGGACCUACCGUGGCGCAAUCUUUUGUGUAUAAACUAGAGUACACCAAAGUACAGAAUUACACAUUUAUGUAGUUAAACAGCUUGGGCAAUCACCUUCUAAGUGAUACCUAAUAAAGGUAUUGAAAACGAACUUUUGUAUGACGGAAAAUGUAGAAAUGUAGCAAUCCAUAGGAGGGAAGGGGUUUGGCCUAAUGAAGGCUUAAGUUGCUUUUAGAAGUUUUUGUUGGUGCAUUUUUGAACAAUAGGGCACUGCAUGAAAUUCUCUCCAUGACGGGCUUGGUGGUCUAGUGGCUACCGCUUCUGAUUCGUAUGCAGAAGGUCAUGGGUUCAAUCCCUGGCCUGUCCUUUUCAUCCUACUUUGUAUCUUUCUAUCCACUUUCUCUCGCUCUCUCUUCUCUACAUAUACAACUCAUGUAUAUUCAUAUGUUCAUAGCCAUCGCUAGAACCAGAAACGAAUUGAAAAAAAAAAGUCGUUUCCCUCCCUUCCAACUUCUACUCACAGCACAGUGUAUAUAUAACGCCUAUAAGUUAUGCAACCAAAGCGUGCUGAGCCGCUUGACCUUAUUCACCUUAUUCACCACACAAUCUAUCACGAACACUAUAAAUAACCCCUAUCCAUGGAUCGCAUCACCGACCCAACGGUGACUCCCAGAUCUUCCCAUCCUUUCCGUCUAACAAAUACCCCAGUCCAUGCGGGUUGUGGGGACGCAGAGUGCUCUCGGUCUCUAGUAGCAACAACCAGUACACUCUAACAUUUUUUUCCAUUCCCAGCUGACUAUAAGGACUUGGCCGGCGCCGUUAUUGAUCAAAUAUGCAUGAGCUGCUAAAAUUGCACUUUGAGAAUAAGUGGAAUGUCCCAGCCCCUUAUUCAGUUGGAUCUCAGUGCAAUUGGUACCAGUUCAGAUCAAUCACAGAGGAGCAACCAUUGACAUGUAUAUCAUGUACUGAUUUAUC